GGAUAUGGUUAAACAAUUCAAGCAGUAAGCAUCUCUUAAAUGUCUGUUGUUAUUUUUCCAAGUGUAUGUUCAUAAAAAAUGCAAAAACAUUGCCAUUUGCCAUUGAGGCACCUUUGCAAUUUUCACAUUUAGCAUUCAUGUGAUCAGGGCUAUGUCUUCAUGUAGUACUUGAAGAAAGUAGAUAUCGCAUGUCUAGCAGUUGAGUGUCAAGGAGACCUUUAAGCAGUGCCAUUUAUCUUAUGCAGUUAUUGAUUGGAUUACAUUUUUUAUGUAGUUCGAUGCUUUGUUUGAGUAGGAUUUUUCUGUGGUUUGUUGCUUUCCAGUUGCAUACAUGAUAACAAGAGAUGCCGGCUUAUAUACAGUUUGCACAUGUCAUCUUCUUUUUUGGUGUACCUAUUAGUAUUAUUAUUCAUCAUGAAUAACCUGUGGCACAUGAUACAGUGCUCUGGUAUGGGG
Molecule: unclassified non-coding RNA, 456 nt
Filed under: Hevea brasiliensis (rubber tree)
Lineage: Eukaryota; Viridiplantae; Streptophyta; Magnoliopsida; Malpighiales; Euphorbiaceae
Source: RNAcentral